GCUGGGCGUGGUGGUGCCUGCCUAUAAUCCCAGCAGCUCUGGAGGCUGAGACAGGAGGAUCACGAGUUCAAAGCCAGGCUCAGCAAUGGUGAGGGCUAAGACACUCAGUAAGGCCCUGUCUCUA
This 124-nucleotide small RNA is filed under the name Marmota monax (woodchuck). Lineage: Eukaryota; Metazoa; Chordata; Mammalia; Rodentia; Sciuridae. The record is from RNAcentral.